This 465-nucleotide ribosomal RNA is filed under the name uncultured bacterium. RNAcentral's name for it is "bacterial SSU rRNA". It matches the Rfam family "Bacterial small subunit ribosomal RNA", at positions 917 to 1382 of the family's 1533-position model. The record is from RNAcentral.
GGACCCGCACAAGCGGUGGAGCAUGUGGUUUAAUUCGAUGCAACGCGAAGAACCUUACCUGGCCUUGACAUCCAUGGAAUCCCGAAGAGAUUUGGGAGUGCCGCAAGGAACCAUGAGACAGGUGCUGCAUGGCUGUCGUCAGCUCGUGUCGUGAGAUGUUGGGUUAAGUCCCGCAACGAGCGCAACCCUUGUCCUUAGUUGCCAUCAUUAAGUUGGGAACUCUAAGGAGACCGCCGGUGACAAACCGGAGGAAGGUGGGGAUGACGUCAAGUCAUCAUGGCCUUUAUGGCCAGGGCUACACACGUGCUACAAUGGCAAGUACAGAGGGAAGCCAACUCGCGAGAGGGAGCUAAUCCCAGAAAACUUGUCUUAGUCCGGAUUGGAGUCUGCAACUCGACUCCAUGAAGUUGGAAUCGCUAGUAAUCGCAGAUCAGCAUUGCUGCGGUGAAUACGUUCCCGGGUCUU